Molecule: long non-coding RNA, 287 nt
Filed under: Glycine max (soybean)
Lineage: Eukaryota; Viridiplantae; Streptophyta; Magnoliopsida; Fabales; Fabaceae
Description: long non-coding RNA (GMAX_LNC003192)
Source: RNAcentral
GUACAUAAGCAAUAAGAGCUUUUGUCUUCAUGUCUAGCGUAAGUUUUAAAAGUCCCACGAACUUAUUACUCAACCAUUCAAUUUUAGCCUGUAUGUUUCUGGCAAUCCUAUGAUAGGUGUGUUCAUUCUUGAAGGUUACAACCUGCCAAGAAGUCUUCUGGUUUGACUUACUAGCCGUUAGCCUAAAUGGACACCCUGGGUCACAUCUUACAACAACUAUUUUCUUGUCAUUUUGCUUAAUCUUCAAAUUUUUCUUCUGCAUCAUUGCAAAGGAUUUUACUGCAUAA